RNAcentral lists this ribosomal RNA (253 nucleotides) under uncultured bacterium. Its description in RNAcentral is "partial 16S ribosomal RNA". It matches the Rfam family "Bacterial small subunit ribosomal RNA", at positions 524 to 776 of the family's 1533-position model. The record is from RNAcentral.
GACGAAGGAUGCAAGCGUUAUCCGGAUUCAUUGGGUUUAAAGGGUGCGUAGGCGGCCCGGUAAGCCAGUGGUGAAAGCCUGUUGCUUAACAACAGAACUGCCAUUGAUACUGCUGGGCUUGAGUACAGAUGCUGUGGGCGGAAUAUGACAUGUAGUGGUGAAAUACAUAGAGAUGUCAUAGAACACCGAUUGCGAAGGCAGCUCACAAAACUGUAACUGACGCUGAGGCACGAAAGUGCGGGGAUCAAACAGG